UACGGAGGGUGCGAGCGUUGUCCGGAAUCACUGGGCGUAAAGGGCGCGUAGGCGGUUCGUUAAGUUGCUGGUGAAAUCCCGGGGCUCAACUCCGGGGCUGCCGGCAAGACUGGCGGGCUAGAGCACGGUAGAGGCGGAUGGAAUUCCCGGUGUAGCGGUGGAAUGCGUAGAUAUCGGGAGGAACACCGGUGGCGAAGGCGGGUCUCUGGGCAACUCCUGACGCUGAGGCGCGAAAGCGUGGGGAGCAAACGGG
RNAcentral lists this ribosomal RNA (253 nucleotides) under uncultured bacterium. Its description in RNAcentral is "partial 16S ribosomal RNA". It matches the Rfam family "Bacterial small subunit ribosomal RNA", at positions 524 to 776 of the family's 1533-position model. The record is from RNAcentral.